Molecule: ribosomal RNA, 465 nt
Filed under: Vreelandella stevensii
Lineage: Bacteria; Pseudomonadati; Pseudomonadota; Gammaproteobacteria; Oceanospirillales; Halomonadaceae
Description: partial 16S ribosomal RNA
Rfam family: Bacterial small subunit ribosomal RNA
Source: RNAcentral
CCUACGGGAGGCAGCAGUGGGGAAUAUUGGACAAUGGGGGGAACCCUGAUCCAGCCAUGCCGCGUGUGUGAAGAAGGCCCUCGGGUUGUAAAGCACUUUCAGUGAGGAAGAACGCCUGGUGGUUAAUACCCAUCAGGAAAGACAUCACUCACAGAAGAAGCACCGGCUAACUCCGUGCCAGCAGCCGCGGUAAUACGGAGGGUGCGAGCGUUAAUCGGAAUUACUGGGCGUAAAGCGCGCGUAGGUGGCUUGAUAAGCCGGUUGUGAAAGCCCCGGGCUCAACCUGGGAACGGCAUCCGGAACUGUCAAGCUAGAGUGCAGGAGAGGAAGGUAGAAUUCCCGGUGUAGCGGUGAAAGGCGUAGAGAUCGGGAGGAAUACCAGUGGCGAAGGCGGCCUUCUGGACUGACACUGACACUGAGGUGCGAAAGCGUGGGUAGCAAACAGGAUUAGAUACCCUAGUAGUC